AUGAACGCUGACAGAAUGCUUAACACAUGCAAGUCUUUGGCGAAUCUGUGCUUGCACAGGCUAGCCAAGGCGGACGGGUGAGUAACGCGUAAAGAACUUACCCUGCAGACAGGGAUAACAGACGGAAACGACUGAUAACACCUGAUACAGUUGCCGGCACGCAUGUGCCUGGCAAUGAAAAGAGAUGCUGCAGGAGAGCUUUGCGUCCUAUUAGCUUGUUGGUGAGGUGACGGCUCACCAAGGCGAUGAUAGGUAGCCGGCCUGAGAGGGUGAACGGCCACAAGGGGACUGAGAUACGGCCCUUACUCCUACGGGAGGCAGCAGUGGGGAAUAUUGGACAAUGGGGGCAACCCUGAUCCAGCAAUUCUGUGUGCACGAAGAAGGUUUUCGGAUUGUAAAGUGCUUUCAGCAGGGAAGAAGAAAGUGACGGUACCUGCAGAAGAAGCGACGGCUAAAUACGU
RNAcentral lists this ribosomal RNA (461 nucleotides) under uncultured bacterium. RNAcentral describes it as "partial 16S ribosomal RNA". It matches the Rfam family "Bacterial small subunit ribosomal RNA", at positions 29 to 506 of the family's 1533-position model. The record is from RNAcentral.